GAUGAACGCUGGCGGCGUGCCUAAUACAUGCAAGUCGAGCGAACAGACGAGGAGCUUGCUCCUCUGACGUUAGCGGCGGACGGGUGAGUAACACGUGGAUAACCUACCUAUAAGACUGGGAUAACUUCGGGAAACCGGAGCUAAUACCGGAUAAUAUAUUGAACCGCAUGGUUCAAUAGUGAAAGACGGUUUUGCUGUCACUUAUAGAUGGAUCCGCGCCGCAUUAGCUAGUUGGUAAGGUAACGGCUUACCAAGGCGACGAUGCGUAGCCGACCUGAGAGGGUGGUCGGCCACACUGGAACUGAGACACGGUCCAGACUCCUACGGGAGGCAGCAGUAGGGAAUCCUCCGCAAUGGGCGAAAGCCUGACGGAGCAACGCCGCGUGAGUGAUGAAGGUCUUCGGAUCGUAAAACUAUGUUAUUAGGGAAGAACAAAUGUGUAAGUAACUAUGCACGUCUUGACGGUACCUAAUCAGAAAGCCACGGCUAACUACGUG
This 497-nucleotide ribosomal RNA is filed under the name uncultured bacterium. Its description in RNAcentral is "partial 16S ribosomal RNA". It matches the Rfam family "Bacterial small subunit ribosomal RNA", at positions 28 to 507 of the family's 1533-position model. The record is from RNAcentral.